Molecule: ribosomal RNA, 426 nt
Filed under: Triticum aestivum (bread wheat)
Lineage: Eukaryota; Viridiplantae; Streptophyta; Magnoliopsida; Poales; Poaceae
Description: partial small subunit ribosomal RNA
Source: RNAcentral
AUGAGUGCCUCUGAAAGGUGCACCGUCUUUGACAACUUCCUCGCCGACCCCAGGUACACCUUUGCAGGCUUCUCCAUCGACGUUGACAAAACCAGGCUGGAGAGCGUCAAACUGGAGGUCGCCAACUUCGUCGACAUCCAGAAGGAGUGGAGGGUGCCCGAGGCAACCAAGGCGUUGGACUCCCUUGGAGACGUCUCCGGCAUGCUCAUCGGCGACUACUACAACAACAUGAAGAAGAAGAUCACCGACGACGAGCACAAGCGCUGGGCCACCCUGCCUCUGUCCAUGAGGCACAUCGAGUGUGCGGCAAAGGACGCCUAUGCAGCGUACGAGAUAUGGAACCGCAUCACCCUCACCCAGGACGGCCUUCGCCAUGCAAAGCUGGAGAAGGAGGAGCCCCCCAAGAAGGACGCCAGGAGCAGCUAG